Molecule: transfer RNA, 64 nt
Filed under: Songmachilis xinxiangensis
Lineage: Eukaryota; Metazoa; Arthropoda; Insecta; Archaeognatha; Machilidae
Description: tRNA-Ser
Rfam family: tRNA
About the family: Transfer RNA (tRNA) molecules are approximately 80 nucleotides in length.
Source: RNAcentral
CUGUUUAACUAAAAUAAGUAUAUGUCUUGAAAACAUAAAAUAAUUGUUUAAAUCAAUUAGUAGU